This 228-nucleotide ribosomal RNA is filed under the name uncultured eukaryote. Its description in RNAcentral is "partial small subunit ribosomal RNA". It matches the Rfam family "Eukaryotic small subunit ribosomal RNA", at positions 587 to 972 of the family's 1831-position model. The record is from RNAcentral.
AGCUCCAAUAGCGUAUAUUAAAGUUGCUGCAGUUAAAAAGCUCGUAGUUGAAUUUGUGGCGCGGCCAUCCGGCGGGGGCUCUUCAUUGAGCCCGUUUGUCCUGGUUUGCACGUUGUGGUAAUGGUUAACAGGAAUAGUUGGGGGUAUUCGUAUUCAAUUGUCAGAGGUGAAAUUCUUGGAUUUGUGGAAGACGAACUACUGCGAAAGCAUUUACCAAGGAUGUUUUCA